UUCUAGAUUCCACUUCCAUUAUACAACAGCAAAUAAUAUCAAUUUAAUUAAGAAAAUUGACUUAAAGUCGUCACCCUGCAUAACAGAAGGUGCAUUGCAAUUUCAACAAUUUUGACAUAUAUAUAUUAUGACAGACAAAGACUAGACCCCAGCUAUCAAUUUCAAGGGCAGAAAUAAUGCCAAACAGCAGAUUAAUCAUGCAGCAGUACUCAUGCCUCCGGGACUUGUAAAAAAAUGCUCAUAAUGCUUGCUAGCUGAGAGCUUGAGCUAGUUGAUGAACCUUUUAUCAAAUCAAUUAACCAUGCAGCGAUUUUGCAGUUCUGGACUUGUUAGACACUUUUCAGAGGUGCUAAUUACAUUAUGGCGGUGGCGGCCCCGUGUCAAAAAGAAUCUAGGAACCACCACAACACUGCUACUCUUUCUUCCACUCCUCAUAGCUACUGCUUUCAUUUCUUCCUUAUGGAAUUCUGAUACUGUAAGCAAUACCAACUUACAGCACUUGUUUUAAUUUUUCCUGCACAGAUAUAUUUCAAUUGAUUAUGAUCGAGUUAUUUGCGUUUUCGAUUAUUUUGCAGUCUAAUUUUUCUGUUCACAAUAUCUCAAGAAAUAAAACGGUGAUUAUCGUAUCCCGAAAGCCACAAAACCGGCCACCAAAAAGAAUCACAACCCCACUCAAUUGUGUCAAAAACCAAACCCAAACUUGCCCAACAAAUUACCCCAAAACAUCUCAAACACAAAAAUCAAUUUCAGAUUACUCAAUAACACCCACAUCCACAUGCCCAGAUUACUUUCGGUGGAUCCACGAAGAUCUAAGCCCCUGGAAAGUCACAGGAAUCACAAGGGACAUGUUAGAAAGAGCCAAUCAAACGGCUCAUUUUCGUCUAGUACUCGUCAACAACAAAGUAUAUAUCCAUAAGUACAAACAAUCAAUACAAACUAGAGACGUUUUCACCAUAUGGGGCAUCUUGCAACUCCUUAGAAAGUAUCCCGGAAGAUUACCGGACUUGGAGCUUAUGUUUGACUGCGAUGACCGCCCCGUCGUCCUAUCACGCGACUACAGCGGGCCAAACAACAAGGGCCCACCUCCGUUGUUUCGGUACAGUGGUGAUAGGUGGACGAUGGAUAUAGUGUUUCCUGAUUGGUCCUUCUGGGGAUGGUAAUGACUUCUUCUUCUUCUUCUUCAUCUUGUUGUUGCUCUCUCUUUUGAUUGCUGGUUGCGUGUUGCGUGUGUUUUUGUUUUCGUAUGGAAAUUGUAGAAUGCAUGCAUGUGAGGGACUUAAAUCGACUUGGACUCUAGCUACCAUCGUAGGCCACGUAGGGUAGAAGCGCACUGUAAUUAAUUUUGUUUUCUGAUAAUCAAGGGGUCCUACGCUAAUGACAUGCGACCAAACACAGAUUAUUUCACCUGAAUUUUAAUGCUAAUGCCCCGGGAUGGCAAGAC
This 1441-nucleotide long non-coding RNA is filed under the name Citrus x clementina. RNAcentral describes it as "Citrus clementina (C. clementina) long non-coding RNA (CCLE_LNC003849)". Lineage: Eukaryota; Viridiplantae; Streptophyta; Magnoliopsida; Sapindales; Rutaceae. The record is from RNAcentral.